Pelobates cultripes (western spadefoot toad) is the source of this 231-nucleotide non-coding RNA. The record is from the annotation of a GenBank genome assembly. Lineage: Eukaryota; Metazoa; Chordata; Amphibia; Anura; Pelobatidae.
CAUGCAAAGUGGGCAUGCCGCAUCACAAGGGCCACCCAGAACUGGCUCAACUCCCAUCAAGCCAAGUUUCCGGAGGAGAUCACCCAGCUCGUCAUGCUAGAGAACUUUUUCAAUGAGCUCCCCAACGACAAGGUGACGACGCAUUCGUAUGUCCACUGGUAACGGGGAAUCAGGGUUCGAUUGCAGAGAGGGAGCCUGAGAAAUGGCUACCACAUGCAAGGAAGGCAGCAG